AGUGAACGCUGGCGGUAGGCCUAACACAUGCAAGUCGAACGGCAGCACAGUAAGAGCUUGCUCUUACGGGUGGCGAGUGGCGGACGGGUGAGGAAUACAUCGGAAUCUACUUUUUCGUGGGGGAUAACGUAGGGAAACUUACGCUAAUACCGCAUACGACCUACGGGUGAAAGCAGGGGAUCUUCGGACCUUGCGCGAUUGAAGGAGCCGAUGUCGGAUUAGCUAGUUGGCGGGGGAAAGGCCCACCAAGGCGACGAUCCGUAGCUGGUCUGAGAGGAUGAUCAGCCACACUGGAACUGAGACACGGUCCAGACUCCUACGGGAGGCAGCAGUGGGGAAUAUUGGACAAUGGGCGCAAGCCUGAUCCAGCCAUACCGCGUGGGUGAAGAAGGCCUUCGGGUUGUAAAGCCCUUUUGUUGGGAAAGAAAAGCAGCAGGUUAAUACCCCGCUGUUCUGACGGUACCCAAAGAAUAAGCACCGGCUAACUUCGUG
This 492-nucleotide ribosomal RNA is filed under the name uncultured bacterium. RNAcentral's name for it is "partial 16S ribosomal RNA". It matches the Rfam family "Bacterial small subunit ribosomal RNA", at positions 29 to 507 of the family's 1533-position model. The record is from RNAcentral.